UACAGAGGGGGCAAGCGUUGUUCGGAAUUACUGGGCGUAAAGCGCGCGUAGGCGGCUUUGUAAGUUAGAGGUGAAAGCCCGGGGCUCAACCCCGGAACUGCCUUUAAGACUGCAUCGCUUGAAUCCAGGAGAGGUGAGUGGAAUUCCGAGUGUAGAGGUGAAAUUCGUAGAUAUUCGGAAGAACACCAGUGGCGAAGGCGGCUCACUGGACUGGUAUUGACGCUGAGGUGCGAAAGCGUGGGGAGCGAACAGG
This 253-nucleotide ribosomal RNA is filed under the name uncultured bacterium. RNAcentral's name for it is "partial 16S ribosomal RNA". It matches the Rfam family "Bacterial small subunit ribosomal RNA", at positions 524 to 776 of the family's 1533-position model. The record is from RNAcentral.